GUAGGGAAUAUUGGGCAAUGGUCGGAAGACUGACCCAGCCAUGCCGCGUGCAGGAAGACGGCCCUCUGGGUUGUAAACUGCUUUUAUCUGGGAAGAAAAAGGCCAUGCGUGGCAAAUUGCCGGUACCAGAUGAAUAAGCACCGGCUAACUCCGUGCCAGCAGCCGCGAUAAUACGGAGGGUGCGAGCGUUGUCCGGAUUUAUUGGGUUUAAAGGGUGCGUAGGCGGCUGAUUAAGUCAGCGGUGAAAGACUUCGGCUUAACCGGGGCAGUGCCGUUGAUACUGGUUGGCUUGAGUGUCGGAGGGGUACAUGGAAUUGAUGGUGUAGCGGUGAAAUGCAUAGAUACCAUCAGGAACACCGAUAGCGAAGGCAUUGUACUGGCCGACAACUGACGCUGAUGCACGAAAGUGUGGGGAUCGAACAGGAUUAGAUACCCGUGUAGUCC
RNAcentral lists this ribosomal RNA (444 nucleotides) under uncultured bacterium. Its description in RNAcentral is "partial 16S ribosomal RNA". It matches the Rfam family "Bacterial small subunit ribosomal RNA", at positions 354 to 796 of the family's 1533-position model. The record is from RNAcentral.